This 250-nucleotide long non-coding RNA is filed under the name Elaeis guineensis (African oil palm). RNAcentral describes it as "long non-coding RNA (EGUI_LNC019260)". The record is from RNAcentral. Lineage: Eukaryota; Viridiplantae; Streptophyta; Magnoliopsida; Arecales; Arecaceae.
UCUUGCAUCAUAGAAAAUUGAAGUCCGCUAGCAGAAUUUUAGAUCCAGCCCAAAGUCCAAUUUCAAUCAGCUGAUUAAACUUAAUCCCAAAUCUAUAUCUGUUCUCUGCUUAAAAAAUCAGACCUCUUCUUUUUCUUUGGUAACAAUCAGACCUCUUCUUAGAUCGCAUCCUGCUUAACUAAUCCAAAGCAUAGAAAAAUAUAUUGGUUUAAUCUCAGCAUGAAUUGAUGUGCAUCCCAAAACCCCGCAC